RNAcentral lists this ribosomal RNA (439 nucleotides) under uncultured bacterium. RNAcentral describes it as "partial 16S ribosomal RNA". It matches the Rfam family "Bacterial small subunit ribosomal RNA", at positions 339 to 795 of the family's 1533-position model. The record is from RNAcentral.
CUACGGGGUGCUGCAGUGGGGAAUAUUGGGCAAUGGGCGAAAGCCUGACCCAGCAACGCCGCGUGAAGGAAGAAGGUUUUCGGAUCGUAAACUUCUAUCCCAGGUGAAGAUAAUGACGGUAGCCUGGAAGGAAGCCCCGGCUAACUACGUGCCAGCAGCCGCGGUAAUACGUAGGGGGCAAGCGUUGUCCGGAAUGAUUGGGCGUAAAGGGCGCGUAGGCGGCCUUCUAAGUCCGAUGUGAAAGUCCUGCUUUUAAGGUGGGAAUUGCAUUGGAAACUGGAGGGCUUGAGUGCAGGAGAGGUAAGUGGAAUUCCCGGUGUAGCGGUGAAAUGCGUAGAGAUCGGGAGGAACACCAGUGGCGAAGGCGACUUACUGGACUGUAACUGACGCUGAGGCGCGAAAGUGUGGGGAGCAAACAGGAUUAGAUACCCUCGUAGUC